Long non-coding RNA from Phyllopteryx taeniolatus (common seadragon), 8204 nucleotides. RefSeq lists it as uncharacterized. The transcript is spliced from 4 exons. Lineage: Eukaryota; Metazoa; Chordata; Actinopteri; Syngnathiformes; Syngnathidae. The record is from RefSeq and is a predicted model, not a curated record.
GACUCCUCCGUCCCUGUCGUCCGCGAUCAGCACCAUCGAACCCCGAGCGAGCGCCGCCUGGCAUAGGACGAGCCGCGUCUUCCGGGAUGGAUCCUCGUCCGACCUUUUUUCGGCCCGAAAGCUCACGUUCCGUUGCUCGGCUCCCUCCAGCCGCCCGCGUCUUGUCCAGGUGUUCCUCGUUGUCUCGUCAAUUAGUUUUGUAUUUAUUUCCCUGCUUUCUUUCAUGCGUCUGUGUGUUUCUCAAACAUUGUUUCCUUAUCAUGUUAAUUCGUGGUCAGUGUUUUGGUUUCCUUGUUUCUAUGUUACAUUGAUUAUAGAUUUUUGGACUUUGCAUCUUGUUUGCCAUCUUUGUUUUGGUAAAUAAAUCCUUUUUGGGGGGGGGGGAUUCCGGCACUCCCUGCUUCGCUGCAAUUGGCUCCUUCACUUCAUUGCCUCCAUCUCCUUGAAAACCCGACCCUGACAGAACGGAGCAACCGCGAAAGGACCCAGCAGGAAGCACACGGUGCCACCCCGCACGCCGCCUGUCUGCCUCGCAGCGCCCUCGGCCUCCCCUCCCCCAUUUUCCCAAAGCAGUUGGUGUCAGAAGUGGGAUUCUAGGAUUGAUCACCGAUCCAGGGGGGAGUGAUUGAUCAUCCAGGACCAACGCACGAGUCCUGCCUCCACCCAAAGAAUUCAGGACGGGGGGGCUGCCGGGGCUCAGGAUCCAAAACGGACCUGUUGUCCUCCAAACAAGCAAUUACGUGCUAUUAGUCAUUGCUCUCCCCACUUUCCAUUGGUGGAGAAGAUGUGGAAAAGAAGGGACUUUGGAUCAGAGAAUGUCUGAAGGAAAACAAAUAAAAGGCUUUUUUUGCGCGAUCGAUGGUGGGGGACCAAGUUCGUCCGACCUCUGGCUGACUCCCGGCGGGCCCCAGAGACAGAGCGACGCUGAACUGGUAAUACACAGACACACCACAACUUGCACCCAACACUCGCUCUUUUGUGCAAUGAAGACGCACAUUGCUUUGCUUAAGCUAGUUAUUUAAUUGAGUCACCACUGGACAUUCAUUUACACACUUAUGGAGUUAAUGUAUGCAACUAUGAAGUAUAAUUGAUAGAUCCCUUUUGAAGGAGAAUAUAUUGACAGAAUGAUCUGGAUCUCUCAGCGCUGUUGGUUGUUAUGUUCUUUUGUUUGUUGUCAUAACAACAAAAGACGUGGGAUAACGAAUUGAAAAUUGAACGAGCUGCAAUGUAGAAUUAUUACUUCUAAUUGUCUGAGGAUGUAGUCCCCGCGUUCGAUGUUGUAGAUGUUUGGUCUGGGACCUAAGGUGUAGCAGUUUGGAACUUCUUGAACAAAUCUACAGUAGGCUGGGGAUGGUGUAACUUGGCCAGGGGCCUAAGAGAAGGUGAUGGAGGUUAUUUGUAAUUUCUCAAGGUUUCGAGAAACUAUCCCGCCAGUGGACAUUUGGUCUGGAAAAAGAAUUAAAAAUGCAUUAAGUGAUGAUUGGAAAUGUGUCGUGAGUUAUUGCAGCGGAAAAUAAAGUAAGUAAUCAGUAAAUUUUCAGGACUGGUGAUGAACUAGUGUGAGAGGGGUGUUUUCUUUUCUUUUUUUCUUUCUUUUUGUUCUCUGUCGGUAGAAGAUGGAUGAUGGAUGGAUGUUCUCUGUCUCUUUCACUUCUGUAUAACGAAGGUGAUUCUUUGCUGGCACUUCAGUAAGGGCUAACAACUCAUGACGACUCGUAGCGUUUGCUCUCUUUGCAAAGAUUUCCUUUUUUCUUGGAGUGAAAACCCACAAAGACAAGAUUAAUUCUGUCAGAAAAGGAUUUGCCAAAACGCACCCAACUCAGGUCAAGUAUCGUUGUCCCCUUUUUCCGCCCGUGUUUCGAAGCCACAUAAUUUGUCACCCAUUUCCACAUCUCGUUCCACGCCUGCGACCAAGUCACGGCCGUUCAAAUCUGCCCCCACGUCACAUCGUGCCGUGCCUAUUUCAUCACCUGGUCUCGUACCAGGCGUGUUUGUUACUUCACCUUCCCGAGUUCCAGUGCACUUUGCCCCUCGGCCUAAGGAAACCCAUGUGGUUUCCUUAGCUCCCUCCAGCCACUCGUCUCGGUGUUCCUCGUUGUCUCGUCAAUUUGUUUGUAUUUAGUUUCCUGCUUUCGAUCUGCCUGUGUCGCAAGUGCAGCAAGCCCUGUUCCCGCUCCCCCACCGGCCGCCACCCGACCCUGCUCCGGCGGCGCUCGUCCAGUGGCCGCCACCCGAACCUGGUCUGGCGACACUCUGUGCGACCGCCCCCUGACCCUUUAGUGGUCAAUAUUUUGGUUUCCUUGUUUCUAUUUUACUUUAAUUAUAGAUUUUUGGACUUUUAGAAUUGAGAUUUUUCCAUGUACCGUGUACUAGCGGAAAAAGCAAGUGUGUAACAGUCCCAGUGUGAGCCUAUUAAUAUUCUACCUUGUUCUCAGCUCCCCGGUGAGCGCUGGGAUUGAUCUCCUGUGGCUCGUCCAUCAUCGCUAUGGUACCAGCAGGCAUGCUGCUGUGCGGGUGACAGUCAGUUAACAUGUCUAUAUUUAUAUGCUGUACAGUAUAUAUAUCUUUUUUUUUUCAUCAAGUUCAAUACCAAAAGUCCAUUUAGUAAUAGUUGAGAGGUUUGUCUUGUCCAGCUCGUGUGGAAACAUUCAAAUUGCCUAAUGAAGUGUCCAGUUAAUUGGUGAACAGUGCAGUGGGCAUAAAAAGUCUACACAUCCCUGUUCGAAGUUUGUGUGUGUGUGUGAAAAGAUGAGACCAAGAAAAAUCAUUUCAAAAUGUUUUCCAGCAUUAAUGUGACCUAUAACCUAUAAAACUCUGCCUUUUUUUGGAGAGGGGUAGUAAAAUACAACUGAGAUGGAGGAAAAACCUCUGAACUUUAUUUGGGGUUAAUCAGAGGCACUUUAAGUGGGAGUUGUGCGUCCAUUUGAAUGUGAGCGACAUUUCCAGUUAUGAGGGUGUGCACUUCCCCUCACUUUUUCUCAUAAUAGGUCCCAUUGAAAAGAAAAAGGUAAAGAAAAUUUAUCUUUUUAUUUCCAAAUGCCUGAGGUUUUUAUGAAAAGUGACUCAUGAAUUUGAACGUUACAAUAUUUAAAAAAAUAAAUAAAAUGAAAAAAAAACAAAACUUCAAAAUAUUGCCACAUUCCUAUUUACAAAGUGACAUUAAAACACUGCCUGGUAAAUUUGGAAGAAAAAAAAAAAAAAGUACAGGGAAGAAAACAAGUUUUUAUACACAUGCUGCAAUGCACAAGUAGCAAUUAACAGAACUUUAGCCACACCAUCAAUUUUACAUACAACAAUUUUUUUUUUUUUCUCAUGUACAAUCAAAGCAAACCAAAGUCCUUUGGUGGAUGAUUCAGAGGGCCACCGAGGGCUGUAAAUGUGAUGGCUGUCUUGCCUGGCCCUUUUUUGUGGACAAACAAAACUGUACUUUCCGGACCAUUUACGAACAAACCAGAAAUGGGAAGUUGUAGUUUAAUUAUGGGGGCUAACAACAAGUUCUUUUAGGACAAGAGUCAAACACACAAACAGUUCUAUUUGUGUAAACAAUGUAUCAUCACUUGUGGACACAAGUACUGCACAUAAAUACUCUUGUUGGACUCUUUGCAUUGUUUAUUCACCUGCACAAAUGGAAUGACUGACACUGUCAUGCAUACUAGAUAAUUGAUUCAUAAUCUAAAGUUGUGCUUUAGAUUUUUAUGUGGACGUCAUAGUUUUAUACGGACCGUGUUCACAUUUUAUGUGUUUAUAACAAUGCUUGUAAAUAUCCGAAGUGGAAGGAGUUGAAUUAAAAUGUUGUGGGAAAGAUAUGCUUUGAAAGUGAAACACAAUUCAAACCAUCACUGUGCAGACAUUCAGCCUCUUCCAUUUGUGUUUCUUGUGAUGUAUUGCAGUGACGGAAAAGUGGUAUGAUAACCAGAAAGAGAUUAAAUUGUGGCACAGGAAAUGGUCUGGCUGCUGAGUACAAUAAGAGCAAUACAACAGAUCAAACUUCAAUUCAAUAAUUCUAAGAGCAUGUUCCUAAAAGCAAAAUGGCUUAAGACGAGCAAAGUUACUUCACACUUGUACGACGGUCAGGAAUGUUACAAUUUGGUUUACAAAUCACUUGUAAAUAAAACUCUUGCGAUGCUAACAGUUUAACGCUGAAACAAGUAAAUUCACUUUACAUCACAUUCUGUAUGGAAAAAUUAGAUUUAAAACUGGAAAUUGUUGCACCGUUUGUCCUUCAUUUCUAACAAACUUCAUAUGGGCCCAAAAUGACUUUUUAAAACUCGGUGUGUGGCUAGAAUUCCUUUUUAGUUGGAACAAAUUUGGUGGGAUGCAUUUUGAUCAUCUCCAACAGUGAAAUUUUCUUUGUAUUGGCGCUUCCUCAACUGUGCAGCUGUAACGAAUGGUUCUUGGAUUCAAUGAAAUGUGCCUAAUAACCUUCUCUCAGCACGAAUGCCCAUUAACAAAAUGUCACAGUUGUUUUUAAACACGCAGUAGUAACUUGUACUUCAUUUGACAUUUGCUAAUGAACUGAAACAUGAAACCAUCAUCACUUUUCCUCAGCAGAAGUGACGCUGAGAGUAGCACGACAUUGAAAGACGACCUUGCUCCCCCCAGCCAAAAACAGCCCACCCUGUGGUCUCUUCUGCUGCAUACCCGAGGCCUCACAAAACUCUCUUCUAGAAGACAGACGCACGCACGCACAAACGAUGAAAUCAAUGUGUUAACGGACUUGCUUGCGUCUUUGGUGAUUCUAUUGUUAGUGUUUUUCUCUUUUAUAGCAAAGGCAAUAAGGUGCUGAUUAUUUCAAGAUUUAUGAGCUCUUCCUAGUAUUUACGCUGAAGACACUUAACAGCAAGGCCUAUUGAGAAGCAAGGACAAAAUUUUAUUCAGUUUAGCUGGCAGCUGAAAAAGGACACAUUUAUUAGUCCACUGGCAGUAAUCCAGAGAGCAAUAAACCAAUUUUAAUCAGCCAACAAUGACCCUUGAUUAUGUUUUUAUUAUUUUAUAGUGGUACAGCCGAUUAUAAAUAGCUUCAAUUAUUGUAAGCAUCUUCCCUAAAGCUGGAUGACUAAUAGACACAUUACUGCACAUGUGCAAACACACAAACCUCUGUGUCAACAUGAGAGUGAAUGAUAACACCCAUGUCACCAGCUCAAUAGUUAUUGAAUUCAUGGAAAUAAACCAUUAACUGUUGAAUAAAUGAGUUGUUGUGGCAGCAAUUAAUUAAGCAUCUUCUAAUAUGCCAGGAUGAUGACAUCGUCGGUCCAUUAAAAGAUUAGAAGGGUUACAAUUGGAUGACAAGGGAGGAGUAGUGGUUCCCUCUUGUUCUUCACCCAGUUCCACAAUUUAAUUUUGUUUUUUCUUUAACUAGACAACGUUCAUUUUAUAGUGGGAGGCGUUUCCAUAAUACACUCAAAAGUCAUGACACGGUUUUGCUCAACUUUUAGUCCGAUGAGUCACAGGGCGGCUUCAUAUCCUCCCGAUGGAUGAAGUCAAGAGGUUUGAUCAUUCCGUGCUGUAGUUUUCUGCAACAUAACACUUGUUUUUAAUGUAUGAACACUUCUAUUACAUCCUUGUGCAUAUACAGUGGAAAUAAAAAGUCAACACACUCCUGUUUAAUUACCACAAUAUGCCUUUUCUAUGAAGACUAACACAAAUGCAGCUUUGGGCCUCCACAAUUCCUUUUUUUGGGUUCUUUUGCUAACGGUCCUACUUUGUCACUCAAGGUGUCUUUACUGUUAACGACGGUUUUGGAGGUACGAGGAUUCUGCCUGACGCCAGCGAUUUGCCUUUACGAUAAAUGGCUACGUUUUUGUUUUUUUGCCCAAUAUAUAUAUAUAUAUAUAUAUUUUUUUAAAUAGGACUUUAAGCAUGUCUUUUUCAACAUGGGAUACAUUUAUCCAUAUAAAACUAAGGUGGUGUAUUAAAAAAAAAUUGCAAAAUGCUGGUUAAAUUAUGUGAAAAUGACCUUUAAAAUUGCAUGCGUUCAUGUUUAUGAUGAUGACAGAUUGAGCCUGGAACAAAUGAAUUCGCUUGAAAUUAUUUUCUUCUGGAAAUUAUUUGGAAUUUAGAAUGCAUCGCAGAACUUUAAGAGAUUCAGAAAUAAAAUGUCCAAGCAGUGGACUUAAUGCUCCAAUGUCUCAACAUCUAACAAUGCUGUUGUAGCCAAUUAUGCGACUGCUAAAACUCUGUAUGGUACAUGCAGCCUAAAUCAUGCUGCUCCUGUAAUGUGUUGCACCGCAGCCAGGACGCCAUAGGGAGGCCUUUUGUGUCCACUGGCUCGUCUUCUAUUUUGCACUACAUUUCCACAUUUGACAUGUCUCUGGAGAUGUGCAGUUUAAAAAAAAUAAUAAUUAAAAAAUAUGGUCGUGGUUGUGCAACCAGGUCCACACUCAAGCUGAAAUUCAUAAACCGCUGACAUCGUUGCAAUGAUGUCAUGUUUCCCAACGUAGAAUCAAUGGAGCAACUUGCCUGAAAAGUCUUGUUUUUUUGGGGGGGGCAAAAUUCUUUUAAAAUAAAUAAAUAAAAUCUGUUUGCAAUAGAACUUUCUGUUUAUGAUUUUUAGAAACCGAUUUCUCCUGUAUAAUAUCAAAAGUUAGGCCCUUUGAAAGCCAGUUACAGCGUUUGAAUGUUUCACUGUUUAGAGCUUUGUGCAAAAAGCACCAUUAUACUUGUUGUUUUAGCAAUUCUAUCAAGACCAUACAUGUGAAGAGUGUCAAAAAUUGUGGAGAGGUGUUCAUUUGUCCAUCUGUUUAUUAGGAUUAAUGCUAAAAGAAUUCCACCUACAUAUAUCUUCAACAAUUAGUGUCCUCAGUUCCCAAAUGCUUUUAUUGAGUGUUGCUAAAAGGAAAGGCGACGUAAUGCAGUGGUAAACAUGUCCCCGUCCCAGCUUUUUUGGAACGUGUUGCAGCCACGUUGUUGGUUUAUUCUUGUGAUUUAGAUGAAGAUCGGACUACAUUUGAUGACCAAUUUAAGCAUAAAUGUAAGAAAUUCCAAAUUUCCCUCCCAUUGUUUAUACGUUUUGGGGUAACCCGUCUUUUUCUGCUGUUGCAGCAGCAGUAAUGUAAGACUGACGUAUGCUUUAUUGUUAUCCAUCGGCCUUUGUAGCCUAACACAAUUGAGCAUUUGGUAACCAAAAAUACAUCAGACUGCAGACAUUGCACAGUAAAAGUAGUAGGUGUGUUUUUCAACCUUCAAUGUAAACGCACACAUUUUGGGUGCCAAUUUGUACUUUGCAUUCACUCACACACACCAAAAGGAUGUUUGACAGGACCUUACUGUAUUUUUUCAGAGAAAGGUUAAUUUCAAUGAGAUAGCUGCUAGGUUAUCUGUGUGUAUUUGAUAAAUGAACUGUGGAUAGUCCAUUUGACAGUGUAUAUAGAUCCUUUGUAUGUCUCUUGCUGCUCAUUAAAAGGCUCCAACCUGAUUUAAAGCAGAGCAGUGGUGAAUAAAAAAAUAUAGUCCCGCUAGGCCUGACGAUGAUAACCUGUAAUUGGGAUCAAUUUGAGGUAAUGUGCUUGAAGGAGCACCACAAGGCAAAUCCAUUAAUGGAACGCUGUCAUUUUGCUCACUUUUUCGAUCUACCUUUCCUGCUGAUGUGGAAACUAAAAAAAACGUCUGCUUCUUCCUCUCGGGACAGAGAAAGCGAGGUGUCAGGACACUAUCUCCCAACGCCAUCUGAGGCCACAGGAACUGGGCUUAACUCCCAAAAUGACUGGGGCCCUUGUGGACCAAACAGAGGUCAGAAUGUUCUCAGCUGUCAAGUUGUAAUACAGCAAAGGAGACUCGGACAAACCCGUUUUUUAGGGCAGAAUGUUCUUCACCCAUUCAUUCAUUCAUUCAUUUUCAAUGCUGCUGACUGAAUGGGGCCGAAGGGGAGUUGGAGCCAAUCCCAGCUGACUUUGGGCGAGAGGUAAGGUACACCCCGGACUGGUCGCCAACCAAUACACACUCGCACCCACGCAAAUACUGGGAGAACAUACCAAGUCCACACAGGAAAGCCGGAGCCCGGAUUGGAACCCACGACCCCUGAACUCUGACGAGGAUGCAGAACGUUUCUAACCUUUUUAAUAUUGAUUAAUAUUGUUAUUGCUUAAUAUAGUAUCUUAAUUUGGCUGUAGUUUGAAAUUGAGAGGAUUGCACUGCAUGUUACUGUUUGUAAUAUUUUCAUGUAACCAAAUAAAGUCACCAAUAUACAGUAUUUCAACACCUCUCAC